This 591-nucleotide unclassified non-coding RNA is filed under the name Tomentella sp. 6 CG-2012. Its description in RNAcentral is "sequence contains ITS1, 5.8S rRNA gene, ITS2". The stretch from base 209 to 363 matches the Rfam family "5.8S ribosomal RNA". The record is from RNAcentral. Lineage: Eukaryota; Fungi; Basidiomycota; Agaricomycetes; Thelephorales; Thelephoraceae.
UACCGAGUUGUCGACAUGAGUUGUUGCUGGUCCUCAAACGGGGGCAUGUGCACGCUCUGUUCACACAUCCACUCACACCUGUGCACCCUGUGUAGUUCUAUGGUCUGGGGGACAACACUGUCUUCCUCCCGUAGUCCUGCGUUUUUACACCUACGCUGUAGUAGAAAAGUCUUAUGGAAUGUGUGCCGCGUUUAACGCAAUGUAAUACAACUUUCAGCAACGGAUCUCUUGGCUCUCGCAUCGAUGAAGAACGCAGCGAAAUGCGAUAAGUAAUGUGAAUUGCAGAAUUCAGUGAAUCAUCGAAUCUUUGAACGCACCUUGCGCCCCUUGGCUAUUCCGAGGAGCAUGCCUGUUUGAGUAUCAUGAACACUUCAACUCUCAUGGUUUACUGUGAUGAGCUUGGACUUUGGAGGUUUUUGCUGGUGCAUGAUCAGCUCCUCCCAAAUAAAUUAGCUUGCCAGUCAUCGGUGGCAUCACAGGUGUGAUAACUAUCUACGCUUGUGGUCGUCUGCUGGGAAACCUUCUGGCAACAGAGGUUUGCUGGAGCUCAUAAAUGUCUCUCUUCAGUGAAGACAGCUUUUUGAACGUUUG